RNAcentral lists this ribosomal RNA (495 nucleotides) under uncultured bacterium. RNAcentral's name for it is "partial 16S ribosomal RNA". It matches the Rfam family "Bacterial small subunit ribosomal RNA", at positions 28 to 507 of the family's 1533-position model. The record is from RNAcentral.
GACGAACGCUGGCGGCGUGCCUAAUACAUGCAAGUAGAACGCUGAAGGAGGAGCUUGCUUCUCCGGAUGAGUUGCGAACGGGUGAGUAACGCGUAGGUAACCUGCCUGGUAGCGGGGGAUAACUAUUGGAAACGAUAGCUAAUACCGCAUAACAGUAGAUAUCGCAUGAUAUCUGCUUGAAAGGUGCAAUUGCAUCACUACCAGAUGGACCUGCGUUGUAUUAGCUAGUUGGUGAGGUAACGGCUCACCAAGGCGACGAUACAUAGCCGACCUGAGAGGGUGAUCGGCCACACUGGGACGGAGACACGGCCCAGACUCCUACGGGAGGCAGCAGUAGGGAAUCUUCGGCAAUGGACGGAAGUCUGACCGAGCAACGCCGCGUGAGUGAAGAAGGUUUUCGGAUCGUAAAGCUCUGUUGUAAGAGAAGAACGAGUGUGAGAGUGGAAAGUUCACACUGUGACGGUAUCUUACCAGAAAGGGACGGCUAACUACGUG